Long non-coding RNA from Lepus europaeus (European hare), 1915 nucleotides. RefSeq lists it as uncharacterized. The transcript has 3 exons. NCBI's taxonomy places the organism in Eukaryota, Metazoa, Chordata, Mammalia, Lagomorpha, Leporidae. The record is from RefSeq and is a predicted model, not a curated record.
CGGAGGAGUCAGUGAAGGUUGAAUGAGGGGCAGCUGUGUAAACCGGGGCCUGUGGAUGGCUCACGGUCCAGGCCGUGCAGUUCAGUCCACCCCAGCCAGCGCCAGACCGCCCUCUGACAGCUUGCUGGGCCACCGCUUCCAUCUCGACCUGAGUCGUCGUACUACCAGUGAGGGCCCAUGAGUUGCAGAGUGCCAGGAAGAUCGGAACUUCUCGGAACAGUGCCAAGCAAGAGACCCUUGCUCAGACUCAGGCGACAUGAUGUUGAAGUGAGCGAGGUCAUCCUGGUGCUGAUUAGAUCCUACCUGGAGCACUCCGCCCGUAGUGCGUUCUAGAAGCGCUAGGAAGGCACCAUGGGCUGAACGUUGAGUGCACAGCCCAGCUCUGUCACUUCUUAGCUUGUGCGACUCACUUUCCUCGCAUGUAAAAUGGAGCUGAUAGGUGUGCCUACUUCUUAGGGUUUGGGGGAGGUCCACAGUGAGCUCAUACAUGAAUGUAUUAACACGGGCACUGGUUACUAUCCAGCUUUUAUUUUCUGUGCAAUACUGGCUCUAGGCCCUUGGCCUGUUAGGGAAAAUUAAUGUUAAUCAAUUAAUCCCACAAACAUGUAAAGUUGUAAAAGUGACACUGGCCAAGGAAGGUCCCCAUGAAGGGGGCAGAGUUCUGGAGGUGAACGAGGGAGGAUGUGUGUGUGCAUCUCUGGGGUGGGAGGAACUUGGGGGUCACACGCGACUGCAGUGUUCCCCAAACGGGCAAGGGACUGAGCUGCAGUGCUGAUUGGGGGCGAGGGCAGCUGAAACCUGGCUUGUUCUGUAUCCUAAGAGCGAAGGGGAGCUGGUGCAAGGUUCUAAGGACAGUGGUUGCCAGGAGGAGAUCGGAUGGGAAGGGGGACGAGUAGAGGCGAGACCGUUGCCGUACUCCAGAGAGGUGUGGAAGCAGGGAGUAGAGAGGAAAGUUGAUGGGACUUGGUGAUUGGGUGGAAGAAGAGGGCGGUGUUGCUGGGGCUGCCUGGAUCUCACACCACUUGCAGUGUCUCCCGGGUGGCGGGAUGGGAGGCUGCGUUUCUUGAGCUAUGCACGGGUCACGUGAGUGGGGAUGUUACUGUCUGUGCCUUUCUGGAUGUCUGCAACAUUUGUGACCAAAACAUAUUUUACUUAGGGAAAAAUGAGCCAAUUGUGAAAUGAAGGAGAAGAAAACUGGAUUUCAGUCUUACGCUGGCACAUCUGCUGCCUGAACCUGACCAAGCUUCUUAGCCUUCUGGAUCUGGGAGACGGGGAGUGUCGGCCCGCGCCGCUCAGCACUCCCCAGUGUCUGUGUUAGCCGCCCUGGUGUCCACACAAACCAUCGGUACCCGCAAGCCAGCCUCUCGCUGUCUCCUGCAGAAGUGCUCAUCACUGCCAGGCCUCCUGCUUCCUGUUAGUGCAGGCCUGGAAAGCAGUGGUGAUGGCUCGCGUAACUGGGUUUCCGCCAACCACGUGGGAGGCCUGGAUUGAGUUCCCAGCUCGCAGCUUCAGCCCUGGCCCAGCCCAGCCCUGGUCACUAUGAGCAUUUGAUUUUUACUGAUUUAUUUGAAAGGCCGAGAGACAGAACCUCCAUAUCUGCUGGUUCACUCCCAAAUGGCUGCAAUGGCUGAGGUGCAGCCGGGCUGAAGCCAGGCGCCUGGAACUCUGUCCGUCCUGGUCUUCCAGGUGAGUGCAGGAGCCCAAGGACUUGGGCCAUCAUCUGCUGCCUUGCCAGACACAUUCACAGGGAGCUGGAUCAGAAGUGGAGCAACUGGGACUCCAACAGACGCUCAUGUGGGACACGAGCUUUGCAUGUGGUGGCUCAACCUCUGCGCCACGGCGCCGGCCCCUAGCAGAGUUUUCUUGAGAGUCCUCCGUUUGCCCCACACGUGGGUAGUCUGUUCUCUCCGUGGCU